Molecule: small nucleolar RNA, 199 nt
Organism: Jaculus jaculus (lesser Egyptian jerboa)
Lineage: Eukaryota; Metazoa; Chordata; Mammalia; Rodentia; Dipodidae
Gene: SNORA73
Rfam family: Small nucleolar RNA SNORA73 family
About the family: U17 (SNORA73A and SNORA73B) also known as E1 belongs to the H/ACA class of small nucleolar RNAs (snoRNAs). Vertebrate U17 is intron-encoded and ranges in length from 200-230 nucleotides, longer than most snoRNAs. It is one of the most abundant snoRNAs in human cells and is essential for the cleavage of pre-rRNA within the 5' external transcribed spacer (ETS).
Source: Ensembl
CCAAUGUGGAUACCCCAGACAGUUAAGCCUCCCCGGGCUCUAUCCGGGUGACCUAAGGGAGAAUAGGGCUCCGCUUCCCAUGACGUAGAGUCCCUUCCAAAACGUUCCUGAUGAAACUGAGCCUUCAGCCUGCGCUUGCACAUUCCUAUUUCUCAGAGUCCUGUGGACAAUGAGGAAAAAAAUCAUGCAGGAAACAAUU